RNAcentral lists this long non-coding RNA (691 nucleotides) under Homo sapiens (human). RNAcentral describes it as "HSALNT0055518". The record is from RNAcentral. Lineage: Eukaryota; Metazoa; Chordata; Mammalia; Primates; Hominidae.
AGAAAACCUUAGGUGAACUCUUGUGUAGAGGGACAAAGAUUUUUACAAACUGACAACACCCACAAAGCCUACUCUGACAUUAUUAUGUGUUUACAAUGUGGUAAGAGGUACAAAGAAACUAAGAUGACGUCUUUUUACACAAGUGGCUCAUAAGUCCAGCUGGGGAGAAGACCGUGAUAAUAACAGCCUUUCUUUAGUUUGUCUUUAGAAUUGUCACUUUCUAGUUUCCAAUGUGGUAUGAUAUGUUAUCCUCCUGGCAGCCUGAGGAGAGUAGACGGGGCAGCUGUGAUUCUCAUUAUCAUCUCCAUUCCAUAGGUAAAGAGACUGCGACACCGAGGGCUUCUACCUUGAGCAGUGCAACUGAUACCCAAAUCUUAAAUUUUUCCCGUCCUCCCUUUAUCCACCCCAAAACAUUCAGAGAACACAAAGCCAUGUUGCUAAUGGCCAGGUGCACACCUUGCAUUUUGAUGGAUUGCGUCUCUUACACCCAGUAGCCUGGCAUGCUUUGUUUCCAGGUGCACAGUUCGACCUGUGCUGAUUUCUAAAAUGGUCCAUAAUGUUGUAGAGGGCUCUGGAAUUUACUUAUUGACAUUCUUUUUUAAAAAGAACUCUCUCUGCCUUGGCGUUUUCAUUCCAUUCCAUGUCAAGUUUGUAAAAGCACAUACCACUGGCUACAACUCAUCUCCUUAGU